This 488-nucleotide ribosomal RNA is filed under the name uncultured bacterium. Its description in RNAcentral is "partial 16S ribosomal RNA". It matches the Rfam family "Bacterial small subunit ribosomal RNA", at positions 28 to 507 of the family's 1533-position model. The record is from RNAcentral.
GAUGAACGCUAGCGGCAGGCCUAAUACAUGCAAGUCGGACGGGAUCCAUUGAUAGCUUGCUAUCAAUGGUGAGAGUGGCGCACGGGUGCGUAACGCGUGAGCAACCUGCCUCCAUCAGGGGGAUAGCCUCUCGAAAGAGAGAUUAACACCGCAUAAUAUCAACAGUUCGCAUGUUCAGUUGAUUAAAUAUUUAUAGGAUGGAGAUGGGCUCGCGUGACAUUAGCUAGUUGGUAGGGUAACGGCUUACCAAGGCGACGAUGUCUAGGGGCUCUGAGAGGAGAAUCCCCCACACGGGUACUGAGACACGGACCAGACUCCUACGGGAGGCAGCAGUAAGGAAUAUUGGUCAAUGGGCGGAAGCCUGAACCAGCCAUGCCGCGUGCAGGAUGACUGCCCUAUGGGUUGUAAACUGCUUUUGUCCAGGAAUAAACCUAAAUACGAGUAUUUAGCUGAAUGUACUGGAAGAAUAAGGAUCGGCUAACUCCGUG